This 497-nucleotide ribosomal RNA is filed under the name uncultured bacterium. RNAcentral describes it as "partial 16S ribosomal RNA". It matches the Rfam family "Bacterial small subunit ribosomal RNA", at positions 28 to 507 of the family's 1533-position model. The record is from RNAcentral.
GAUGAACGCUGGCGGCGUGCCUAAUACAUGCAAGUCGAGCGAACAGACGAGGAGCUUGCUCCUCUGACGUUAGCGGCGGACGGGUGAGUAACACGUGGAUAACCUACCUAUAAGACUGGGAUAACUUCGGGAAACCGGAGCUAAUACCGGAUAAUAUAUUGAACCGCAUGGUUCAAUAGUGAAAGACGGUUUUGCUGUCACUUAUAGAUGGAUCCGCGCCGCAUUAGCUAGUUGGUAAGGUAACGGCUUACCAAGGCAACGAUGCGUAGCCGACCUGAGAGGGUGAUCGGCCACACUGGAACUGAGACACGGUCCAGACUCCUACGGGAGGAAGCAGUAGGGAAUCUUCCGCAAUGGGCGAAAGCCUAACGGAGCAACGCCGCGUGAGUGAUGAAGGUCUUCGGAUCGUAAAGCUCUGUUAUUAGGGAAGAACAAAUGUGUAAGUAACUAUGCACGUCUUGACGGUACCUAAUCAGAAAGCCACGGCUAACUACGUG